This 62-nucleotide transfer RNA is filed under the name Linognathus africanus. Its description in RNAcentral is "tRNA-Glu". The record is from RNAcentral. Lineage: Eukaryota; Metazoa; Arthropoda; Insecta; Psocodea; Linognathidae.
GACUUGUUAGUUUAUUGAAAACAUCUUAAUUUCGAUAAGAUGAUGGAGAGAUCCACAAGUAA